RNAcentral lists this long non-coding RNA (205 nucleotides) under Mytilus galloprovincialis (Mediterranean mussel). The record is from RNAcentral. Lineage: Eukaryota; Metazoa; Mollusca; Bivalvia; Mytilida; Mytilidae.
UUCUGUUCUUGCUCUUCUUUAUUACUCCUAAGAAUGUCAAUUGCUGAUUGGUGAGUGUUUAUCAUUUCUGUCAGUUCCUGUUGAGACUUUUUACAACUUCUUAAUUCUAGUAAUAUAUCUGUAAGGGAUCCAUCCAAGACAACAUGUUUUGCCAACUGAGCUUCUUUAAGCAUUGGUAGACCACCCUUAGCACUAAGACGUCCAA